GGUGCAGGGAAUCCUGGCCAAUAUACCGUUGAAGGUGGCCUACUGUCGUACUACGAGGUGUGUAAAAACCUGGGUGAAGGCUGGACUAGAGCGUUCAACUACGAGCACAAAGUUCCUUAUGCCUACAACAGUGCCUCGCUGCAGUGGGUGGGCUAUGAUGACGUAGAAAGUAUUGGAUACAAGGCUGACUUUGCGUGUAGACAGCAAUUGGGCGG
Long non-coding RNA from Lingula anatina, 215 nucleotides. Lineage: Eukaryota; Metazoa; Brachiopoda; Lingulata; Lingulida; Lingulidae. The record is from RefSeq and is a predicted model, not a curated record.